GGGUGCUGGAGUUGCCACUUAGAGCCUUUUGAGCAAUUGCCAUAAGUGAAGGUUUUUGUGGAGACCAUGGUCCCUAUUAGUGCCAUGCAAGAAUCUUAUUUUUGUUAUUAAGAUUUGUGGAAUAUCCCCUGUUGAAAAAGAAUUGGAAACAGGUGGGACAGAAGUCCACGACCUGUCCAGGGAUUUGCAAGCAACAUUUGGACAUUCAUAUUUCAUUGAAGAAAAUUUCACUGAAGAAAUCACUACAUGAAGAAGACAUUCUCAUGUUGGACUAUUUCCAUAUGUAUCUACUCUAAGGACUUUAUUAGGGACUUAGGUUUCUUUGUGUUUAUGGUUAAUAAUACAUUUGUUAGUUAAUUGUCACUAUAA
Molecule: long non-coding RNA, 369 nt
Organism: Heteronotia binoei (common prickly gecko)
Lineage: Eukaryota; Metazoa; Chordata; Lepidosauria; Squamata; Gekkonidae
Exons: 2
Source: RefSeq, a predicted model, not a curated record